GGCGCUAUCGUCUAGAGGCCAAGGACACCAGAUUCUCAUUCUGGGAACCCGGGUUCGACUCCCGGUAGCGUCA
RNAcentral lists this transfer RNA (73 nucleotides) under Candidatus Blackburnbacteria bacterium. RNAcentral describes it as "tRNA-Glu". It matches the Rfam family "tRNA". From Rfam's summary of the family: Transfer RNA (tRNA) molecules are approximately 80 nucleotides in length. Lineage: Bacteria; Candidatus Blackburniibacteriota. The record is from RNAcentral.